This 327-nucleotide ribosomal RNA is filed under the name uncultured bacterium. RNAcentral's name for it is "bacterial SSU rRNA". It matches the Rfam family "Bacterial small subunit ribosomal RNA", at positions 43 to 366 of the family's 1533-position model. The record is from RNAcentral.
UCAGGCCUAACACAUGCAAGUCGAACGAUGAAGCUGGAGCUUGCUCCGGUGGAUUAGUGGCGACCGGGUGAGUAACGCGUGUGCAAUCUGCCCUUGACUAUGGGAUAAGUGCGGGAAAUUGUAGCUAAUACCGGAUAUUGUACCUGGGGGCAUCCCUGGGUACUGAAAGAAUUUUGGUCAAGGAUGAGCUCGCGGCUUAUCAGCUUGUUGGUGAGGUAAUGGCUCACCAAGGGGACGACGGGUAGCCGGCCUGAGAGGGUGACCGGCCUCAUCUGGAUUCUGAGACACGGUCCAGACUCCUACGGGAGGCAGCAGUGGGGAAUAUUG